RNAcentral lists this long non-coding RNA (39318 nucleotides) under Ananas comosus (pineapple). Its description in RNAcentral is "long non-coding RNA (ACOM_LNC014650)". The record is from RNAcentral. Lineage: Eukaryota; Viridiplantae; Streptophyta; Magnoliopsida; Poales; Bromeliaceae.
AUAUAUAUAUAUAUAUAUAUAUAUAGAGUUGAGCUAGAAUACUAUCGGUAGUAAACGAGCCGUUUUACUACCGAUUUGUUUUCGAUGAUAGAACUUCCAAAUUGACGAUCGGCUCUGUUGAACAUGAUCUAUACCACUUGAAGUGUUUAGAAAUCAAAUUUCAAAUCUUUUCGACAUCAUUUACCUAAUGAUCAAAGGGUUUCAAAAUUUGUAAUUUUAAUGGUCGAUAAGAGGCGUUUUCUCGCUUAACGGCGUAAAGAUAUCCAAAUCAAUUGAAUUUUUGUUAGAAAAUUCUUUAAACUAUUUAAAACAAGAUCUAUACUCUUGAUCUUGAUUACAAGACUCCUAUCAUCAUUUUUUAAAGAGUAUUCAUUUUCAGCCAUUCAUUUUUCUGUUCACUUGAUGGAUAAAAGAACAAUAUCGAAAGUGCGUGAAAUUUGAUUUCUAGGUAGUUUAAAUGGUUUAGAUCAUAUUUAACGGAGCCGAUCGUCAAUUUGGAAACUCUAUCAUCGAAAACAAAUUGGUAGUAAAACGGCUCAUUUACUACCGAUAGUAUUCUAGCUCAACUCUCUCUCUCUCUCUCUCUCUCUCUCUCUCUCUCUCUAUAUAUAUAUAUAUAUAUAUAUAUAUAUAUAUGUCAAUUACAACUUUGUAUCUCCGAAUAAGUUUGGAUGAUCUUAUAGUCACUACUACUACUUUCGCUUGAUCAUGUGCAUCUUUCUCUACCGUCUUUGACAAUAUUUCUCUGUAUGAUCCCCUUUCAAAUUGCUGAAUUGGAUGAAAAUGUGCUGAAAGUAACUUGUAUUAGUAGUUUCUAUUUUUCCUCGGUUGGAAAAUCCUAGAAAGUUUUCUGUUGGAGAGAACAAUGUGUUUUAACUGUUUACUUUUUUUUUUUCUUUUUUGCUAUUCCAAUUUUUGGUGUAUAGUUUACUGUCAUUCAUGAUUUAAAAUUAUACAUUGGCUGACUUUGGUGUAUUUAGCUGUUUAUGUUAUAUAUAAAUGCUAUAUAGUAAUGUAGGAGAAACAGUUGUAUGCUUACUUCUACCUUCCUGUGAGGGUUAAACCUGAUGGAGAGUUAGAUAAGUUAUUUAUAGGUUAUAGUAUGCAGAGACCCUGUCAAUUAUUGGCAAUUUUCGAAUAGACCUGUGAACUUUUAAUUUUCUCUGCUUAAAAUCAGGCAGAGACAGACCCCAAAUCAAGUGAGACAAUAUCUCUUAAUUAAAAUAACCAAUUAAGGGGUGUCAAUUAAAAACAAGCAGGUUUGGGAUCUAUUUGUGAAACAGCCUAUUGAGCGAGUCACAGUACAUUCUUCACUUUAUUUAGACUGUCUAUUUUGCCUAAGCUGGUCUUUUAACGCUAUAUUGAUUAUCCUUGAAUUUUAUGAGAAUAGUCAUUCUGGAUUCAUGUAUAUAAAUAAAUAUAUAAUAGUCUAUUGAAUGUCUUGGCAUGACAUGUGGCAGCUUAUAACGUUCUAUUUCCUCUCCAUGCUUCUAGGCUGGGAUGCACAUUUAUGCUAGAGCAGCAGCUAAGGGGAAACGUGUCCAGGUGAACUCAUACAUCUUUUCAGCAUUAUUCAUGUGACUGUGCUCCUUCACGAAAGACAGUGACUUAGUUUUGUUUGGUUAUCUCUCUCCCAUAGAUGGCUGUUUGUCAUUUUCCAUACAAGUUUCAAGUGACAUCUUCUAAAUAUUAGUCUUUUCUUUAGUCAAACAUGGGUGCGAAGAACCAUGCAGUUGUCCUUCCUGAUGCUAGUGUUGAUGCUACAUUGAACUGCCUUGUUGCUGCUGGCUUUGGUGCAGCAGGGCAAAGAUGCAUGGCAUUAAGCACUACUGUUUUUGUUGGAGACUCAAAACCAUGGUAUAAUUUCUUCAAUACGAUCUUUUGAUGUCUUUAGUCAAAUAUCAUAUUUAAUAGUUUAUGUUGUUAUUCUUGUAAUAAUCUGUGCGUGUGGACUUUCACUGACUUUUUUUUAAUUGCAGGGAGGAUGAAUUAGUAGAACGUGCCAAAUCUUUGAAAGUAAGUGCAGGAGUAGAGCCUGGAACAGACCUCGGUCCGGUGAUCAGUAAGCAGGUGUGAUCUAUUUGAGAGAGAAUGAUUAGUUCAUGCCAUUCUUUUUUAGUAGUAUAUGAUUUAAUUGAUGUUUUAUGUGCCAUGAGUGGAUUAAGAGUAACAGAAGUGGAACAAUAAGAAGUUGCAACUUCGUCGAAAGAAGUUGCAACUUCUUUAACGUUUGUCAUAAUUAUACUUUUCUUCACUAUGUCUGAAGAAUUUUGAACUGCUUGUCAGAAAAAAAAAGAAGAACUUGUCCAUCAAAAGAAUUUGCAAUUGCCUAAACCCUGGCAUGAUGACACUGAUUGGCAGAGCAUUUUAUCAAUGAGUCAUUGUAUGAGAGCAAUCAUGAUAACAUUCAAGAGGCUUUUUUCAAACCAUUCAUGGAUCAUCUAGUAUGGAAAAUAUUAUUUGGAUUUCUGAUAUUUGGAACCAUAAGUAAUAUAGAAUAUCAGUUUUCUGCUAGAAAGGUGAUCUGCUAGUAUAUUGGAAAUCAUUUAUCUUAAAUCCUGGAAACGUGUAUGAUGGAUUCAGAACAGUGGGACUUUUGUUUCAGAAUUGAUUUUAAACUCUGAAGAGAGGAUCUGAGAGAGCUUUCAUCAAUUAGAGAUGCAUCCCUGGGAGUCUAUUGAUGAAAUAACUGACUGAUGACGUCUUGAAAACUUCUUGGCGAUUUAAUCUUAAAGUUUUUGUUGUAUUUGUUUUGUUCUGUCACUUUACUGGGUAUUGGUUUUGGAAAUGUUGGACAAAUUGUUUUAUUUUUCACUGCUAACCUUUUUUCACUAAUUUUGGCACCGCAUAAUAUAAUUGAUAUGAUAUGUGAUAUGAUAUUUUAAGAAAUCAUAAAAAUGGUUUUUCUUAUGUUAUCUUUUAAUAGUUUCUUUUAUAAAAUUUUCAAUCAACAGGCGAAGGAUCGUAUUUGCAGAUUGAUUCAAAGUGGCAUUGAGAGUGGUGCUCGAGUUGUGCUUGAUGGAAGGAAUAUUGGGGUAGGGACUUGUUAAAUUAUCAUAUUGAUACCUAUAGUUAUACAUUGAUCUUCCUGAAAUAUGUUGAUACAAUUCAUCUAUUGGAACACAGUUUUACCUAAUUGUUUGGUUUGGUAUAAUCUGUGGUAAAGAGUAGCAAUGCUUAAAACAUCUGCUGCUAGGCAGUUCCUGGAAUGAGCAUGAAAAAUCAAAGCUUCAGUUUCUUUUAAACAGAUAGAGAUGGACCUAGCAGUUGCCAAACUCCAAAUCACUAUUAACAUUAUACAUCUUUCAUCAUCUAUAUAGGUUCCCGGUUAUGAGGAUGGCAAUUUUGUUGGUCCAACCAUUUUAGCUGAUGUUACGAGUGACAUGGAGUGCUACAAGGUAUAUGAGUUAUAUGUCACCAUUUUGAUGUUGCUGUUUUUUUCAUAGUAUGAAAGUUUUUGCGAAGUAAGUAUCUCUAUCAGUACAUUUGAUGGCAAUUUUACUGAACUUGAACAGGAGGAAAUCUUUGGCCCAGUUCUUCUCUUGAUGAAGGUUAGACUAGUGUUUUAUGGUGUCUUGAAAAAAAUUUCCUCACUGAUACUGACAGUGUCAUCCAAUCACAGGCUGAAAGCUUAGAUGAGGCCAUCAAAGUUGUUAAUAGCAACAAGUAAUGAUUAUCUCCCUUGGAUGUUGGAAUAUUUAGAUAUAGCUUUGUUUAAUCCGAGUAAUCAUCUCUACCUUGAUACCUUCUUGGCUCAGGUAUGGCAAUGGAGCAUCCAUAUUUACCACAUCAGGUGUGUCUGCGAGGAGAUUUCAGAGUGAGAUAGAAGCCGGCCAGGUAGGAUCUGGUUCCCAAUUUUUUUUUUUUUUUUGGUAUCCUGCUAUGUAGAUGUUGAAAUUUCAGUAUGGUGCAGGAUGAGAAUCUUCUCUGUAUUAGUUAUGAAGAAUGAUAGAGCAACAAUCUACAAAUCGGAAGCAUGCAGAAGAAUAGUAUGUAGUGUGAAAGUCGGUAAUGGUUUUGAUGUAUGACAAGGGGAAAGUUCUCUUUAUUUUUGAGAGAGAGAAUGGUUGCAUGCUGCCACUUCGUUCAUUUUUUUGGAACUUAGCUAGAAAUAUGAAGCAACUAGGUAAUGAACUCGGGACUGUGGGUACCAAAUACCAAACAGCAAAACCCUUGCUGCUUGCUCUAGGGAUAGUCGGUAACAAGGGGAAAGUUUUAGGAGAUUAAAUGAGAGCUAUGCUGGAGCUUUUAUUUGGAAUGGAAAUUAUUCACUGUUGAAAUAGAGAUGAUGGGUUUUCAGAAGGAAGUUCAUAAUUCAUAACGAGGAUAGUCUAGACUCUAGGGACAUUGAAUGUCAAGUUUUGGUGGAAAAUAAGUAUACUUUUAAAAUCACCAAGCCUGUUUGUAGGGAACAAUGAAGCAAAGUUAAACGGUAAUUAUCAACUUAGGUAUUGGAAAUCACGUGGACUGACACUACUGUUGUACGUGUGUUGCAAAAGUCUCGUGCGUAGGGUGGAGGAAGAACAUAUUCUGUAUAAGAGUUCUCUUAUUACAUUGGCUUGAACAUACGCCUUUCUUCCCUCAUUGUACUACUCCUUGAUCUAGGAAAAUGACGACAGAAAAGCAACGAAGUAAAAAAGAACAUAAAGAAAUCAUCUAGAUUGACAUACCAAAAAGAAUUAAUGUCAUCCAAAGUGUCCAAUCCUGCAUAGAUCACACCUUUAACUGAGGGUUCUCCCUAUGUCUCUAGUAUAUUUUGGAUCUUGUUGAUUCUUUGCAUCUUUCAGUCUUUCCAUGAGCUCUACUUGAUUCUUUAUGACAGAAUAUCAUUUUUGCUUCUCUACUCGUCCUUCUAAUUCUUCUCAAAAUUUAUAUUAACCUCUAACACAUUGUAUAUUUUCUGUUGAAGGUUGGCAUUAAUGUGCCGAUUCCAGUGCCACUUCCAUUCUUCUCAUUCACCGGCUCCAAGGCCUCUUUUGCUGGAGAUCUGAACUUUUAUGGUAUGGCAUUCAACGACUGAUAUCUAACUUUGUCUUGCUACUGCAAUCAUUCAUUAGCUUCUGAAUGGAUAACAUUAACGAACUACGACUACUAAUCGCAGGCAAAGCUGGUGUACAGUUCUACACUCAGAUCAAAACCGUCACACAACAUUGGAAGGACUCUUCGUCGAGCCAGGGAGUAUCACUUGCUAUGCCCACAUCGCAGAAGUCGUAAACAGAGUGUUCCGUGCUUUGAUAUCGUUAGAUGUGGUGCUGUAGUGCUACUCGUGUUCAAUAGGGUCUGUAAAAUAACCGAAUAAGAGAAUGUCGUGAUUAGAAUAAUUUAUCAAUAAGACACACUUUGGGACUGCCACAUUUUCUCUAAAAACUCUAACGCUAAAUUGACUGCAUCAUUUAAAUAUGGGAAAAUUUCAAAAACCCUCCUGUGGUUUUGUAGUUUCUUACUUUGGCCUCCUGUGGUUUAAAUGGUAUCAAAUUGCUCUCAUGUGGUUUCGUUUUUAUUUCUUCGGUAGCUUUUUUUGUUAAUAUUUUAUUAAAUUAUAUACGAAAAACUUUAUAUACUUAUCUAGAUUUAUCAAAUAUUCACUUUAGUAUGCUUUAAUUUUAACUUUAUCACUGAUUUAAGAAGAUAAGAAAAAGAGGAAAAAAAAACUACAGGGAGGCAAAUUGAUACAUUUUAAACUACAGGGGGGCAAAGUGAGAAACUACGAAACCACAGGGAGAGUUUUUGAAGUUUUUCCUUUAAAAUAUAGCUACUGAAUCAGCCAAUAAGUCAUUGCUGUAACACUUUUUUGUAUUUAACUCAACUUUCAUAUUAUUACUUUAUGAAAAAUAUACAUGAUUUAAACAGAAUUAUUCGAUUAACAUGCGAAUCAAAGUAUCGUAUCUUAUUUGAGAAAUUUGAAGCUUCGGUAACCAAUGGUGUAAUUUACUCCAAAUAGUAGAAAGCUCCUGCACUGAGAAGCUUGUAGUAAUAAUUGCAAGAUAGCACCAAACAACACUAGAGAAUGGAUGCAAUUAACAAUUGCAAAUGGUACUUAUUUUCUUCCUCUUUUUUUUUUUUUAAAUUAAAUCAUUCAAUAAGGUGACAUCAAGUAUCGCUGGAUAAAUUACAAUGUGGUGUUAGAUGAUGAUGAUGAUGAUGAAUAAUUAUAAUAAUAGAACAUUGUUCAAUCAUAGCUUUAAUACUGGGAAGAAUUCAACAACCCAAUUAGUUUUAAGGAAUAAACUACAAUGGAAGCAACCCUGUCCAGUAGACUUUUUUUUUUUUUUUUUUUUUUUUUUUUUUUUUUUUUUUUUUUUUUUUUUUUUUCCAAAUGAGUUCAUCUACCAUGCAAAUUGAAUUUAUAAUAGGGGUGAAAAUCGAUCCGAUAGUACUCCAAUCUAUAUCUGUACUAGUAUCUCGACACUAGAUAUGGAUACAGAUUUGAAUUUUGGACAGAUACUCAAAACUCGAAUUGGAUAGAAAUAAGAAUGGAUAUGAGUCAUAAAUCAUAAAGUAAUCUAUUUCAUAACCCUUAGCACUCAUAAAUCAGAUAAAUGAGAUUAUUAUUCUGAAAUGGCAUAUGCGCCGAGUAGGUGCGAAAUUUUCUACGGUGGUAUCCAAACAUGCGCAAAUUUCAGUCUUGUUUUGAGUAAAUUCCUAAUGAUUUAGGAAAGAGGAUGUGCCUCCAGGCCUUAUCAAAGAAAAAUGUGUGAAACUUCUAAAAACUAUAUGCUCCUGUUCUAUCCUUAAUUUUUCUAAGAAAGGACCAAUAGUAAAUAUGGACAUAUUGGUACUUUUGGAGAGCUUGGAACAUAAGAUUAUUAUUAUUAUACCAGGAGAUGAGAUCAUGCAAUAUUUGCUGUGGAGUUGGUGAAGCUUUUUUCUUGUGGCCCCAUGAUGCAUCUUAGGAACUUUCUCAAUUAGACAUUGUUGAUGUUGAAUUAGGUGGUGAUUAAUGUAACUUUCCAUCGUCGAAUUGCCGUUGUUAGUAAGCCUAAAAGAUGGGUUAGUUUUCAAAGCCUAAAUCAUCUGUUAUGAUGCCAUGUAAUUCAACUGCGACUUUUAUAAACAAACGAUUGUUCUGAUGCCAUGUAAUUCAAUUGUGACUCCUUAGAAAUAAAUGAUUGCUUACACUCUCACUUCAUCAUAUAUACUUAAUAUUUAGGUGUAUAUAAUACUUAGCACAAUUACUAGGAGAUGAGAUCUUGCCACAUUUGCUGUAGAGUUGGUGCAACUAUUUUCUUGUGGCCACAUGAUGGCCACAUGAUGCAUCUUAGGAACUUUCUCAAAUUAGGGCAUUGUUGAUGUUGAAUUACGUGGUGAUUAAUGACCCUUCCAUCGUCGAAUUUCCGUUAUUAGUAAGCCUAAAAGAUGUGUUAGCUUUCAAAACCUAAAUCAUCUGUUUUGAUGUAAUCCAACUGUAACUUUUAGAAGUAAACGAUUGUGUAUGCUCUCACUUGAUCAUACAAACUUAAUCUCUAAGCAUAUUAUACUUCACACAAUCACAAGGUCAUAUAAUAAUUUCCUUAGUGUCAUAAUUAAAUGCAUUUUUGCAUUUUGGCAAGGUCUAAAGAUGCUAAAGUCAAAUUAAUAAGAACAUAAGAAUGGGGAAAUAAAAUGAAAGUGCUGGUAUAAUUUCCUUGUUCUUGUGCAAAGUUCAUUAUCCAAACGACGCCUCGUUGAAGGCCCUCGAUCUGCUAUGAUGCGUCAGUUUUGUCUCUGUCCAAGAGUUAUAAUCUUUUUUCUAUAGUUAAUUUUUUUUUUUUUUGAAUUUUAGUAUUAAAUAACACUCAAUAAAUCUUCAUAUUGAAGCAAAACUAACACAUGACAGCGAAUUAGUAACUCGCCAAUGAAGCAUCGUUGGGACCUUCCCUUUGAAGUUUUAUCCCAAAUAGAGACUCAAAAUGGUUUGGUUUUAACUAUCCAAAAAAGCAGUGUUUGAUUUGUGUCCACAUCACUUAAACUUGUUUCUUUGUUCUAUAAAUUUAUCCCUUGCUAUUUAUUGGAACACUUGGCUUUUAUAUUUGGUUACAUAUCCAAAAUGAGCUUUCUAUAAUAAACAUGCCCACUACUGAUUUGUCAUGUGCUAAAUGCAGAGAAUUAAUGAUUAGUAUAAAAAUUUGGUUGCAACUGCUCAACUUAAUGCUAAGUAAAGAUGCUCUUGUACUCAUUCCAUAAAUGUUGAUCUACUUAUUUUGCUUCUAUUAAUACUUAAACCUAAUUUUAACAAUGUAUUUUUUUCUUUUUGUUUGUUUGUUUUUUUUUAAUAAGAGAUUGGGUUUUACUAGAAAAACAUAGGGUAUGAUGCUUCACCUAGCAAAAUUUUUUAGAUUUUUUUUUCUAAGGAAAUCUACAUUCUAUGUAGGGCUUUUUUUAAUAAUUUUUUUUUAAAAAAAAAAUUAUAGUUUUUAAUUUGUACAUUAAUUCUAUUUGAUCCAACUCGGAGCCACGUUACGAGAAAAGUGAAAUAUUGUGAAUUAUUUACCAUCUUUAAAAAAGGUAAGUCAUUUACUAUUUUUUAGAUUGUUGUUGUUAUUUAUAUGUUUUUCUGUAUGGGCUGUAUUAAGAACGGUGAACAAUUCAUCAUCUUUCAAUUAUUAUUCUACCGUGACACUGAACGGGAGAAAAUAGAGUUAUUUAGUCAAGUAAAUUAUUUAGCCAAAUAUAAACUUUUUAAGGGUUAAUUUGAAAAAAAUUCAAUUUAAUUUCACAUAAUAAUUAUUAUUAUUAUUAUUAUUGGUUAGCUUGCAUAUAGUGCAUCUUGUCAAGUUGUGGGAUGAUAUUCUUUUAAAAGAUUAAAAAAAAAAUUGCCAUUUGCUCCCACAAUCAAUCACAUAAUAAAACUUCAAUUUCAAAAUAUAAAAAAAAUGAGGAAAAAAAAAAUCAAGCAACCCUAAAGUUACCAUCAUCUUAUUGUUGAAAUUUUUUAUUAGAAAAUUGUGAGCUAGAGUGCACAUGCCUUUGAUGUGAGCCUCAAAUUAGGGCACCAUACAAGACAAAUAUUCCAUUGGAUGCAAUGUCAGCUAAAGCCAUAAAUACAAACAACACAUCAAAAAUAAAUAUUUUGAUGACCCCUACAUGAUGUAGAUCUAUGGAUUAUAUUCAGCAAUCAUUCUAAUAAUAAUAAAAUUCUCCUAUACUCAAAUCAGCGAUAAAAUCUUUAUAGCUUAAUGUACACAAUUUUUAUAUAACGAGAGAGUUCUCCGUACUCAAAUCAGCAUAAAAUCUUCACAGCUCAGUGCAUACGAUUUUUGCAUGCGAUUUUUAUAUAAAUGAGAGAGGCUUUUACUUAUUUACUUCCUCACUACUAGUCAAAAAUUUUAAAUUUAUCGUGAAAUUAUCAAAAUAUUUUUUAAAACUGAAUUUUAUUAGUAUAAGAGAAAUGAGAAUAUUUGAAGGGAAUUUUUGAAAUCAAUAAUAGUAUUUUGAUUCUUCACGAUUAAAUAAGAUAUAUUUUUUGGAGUUUUGAAGGAUAUGUUAGAUAUUAUCUUUAUAUGAAAAGAUUUUGCUGUCCAUUCAUGAAAAUUUGUUGAAAUUUCGAAAAUCUAUAUUUAAAAGUGAAUCCGACCAAAAACUUAAAACUCGAAACUCAUCCGGAACCUGAAACAAUCAUUUAACUUUACCAUAUUUCAUAACAUAUUAUAUUAAAAUAUAAACCUUUAAAAUACAAAUUUAAAUAUAACACUGUACAUUCACAUAUAUAUUCUAUAAUGUAACAUUUGUUUCGUUUCGGGUUUAGAUCGAGUACAGAUACUAUAAUUCAUAUCCAAAUCCAAAUUUGAAUAGGUAAGAUUUUUAUUUUUAUAUCCAUAUUCGAAAUUUGGACUUAUAUUUUUGACUUGCAAAAUCCUGUGCAGUGUCUGUCUUCCUUCUCAAAUAUGGAUAAAUUUGGCUUGAUCAUGCUAGUCCAGACCUGCUCGUCCUCUAAGACCAAGUGUAAGAAAGAAAGAGAUGCCUGUGAAAAUUUUUUUAAAAAUAUAUAUUAUUUAGAGAAAAUAGAGUAUAAUAUUGAAGCUUGGAAUUUGGGAAUGAUUUAUGUUGGAAAUUUUAGGGCAGUGAAAAUUUACAAACUGGAUAGCCAACGUAUUUAGGAAUCGGAAUCGAAUCGAAUUGCUUGUUUUACAAGCCUACUUGGAUCGUCAUUGUCUUAAUGCUUCUAGAUCUCCAACGUAUCUCGCCUUCUCUUACGCCUACGGCUUACGUCGUGAAUCGAAUGCAUCGGAUGCCAAUCGAAGAGGGCUACGAGAGUCCUUUUCUAUAUCCAUCUUGAUUCCGGGAACGUAGGUGGAAAUUCCAGAGAGAAAGAAAAGAGAAGGAGAAUGGAUUCUUUUAGAUCGAAUUAGUAUUAGAUCAUAUGAUACAGAGAAAAGGGAUGUAUAUAUAGAAUAUUGGACCCCUAAAUAUCCUGAAUCUCACAUACUGAUUAAGAUUAGGAUAUCCAUAAUAGAUAUCAACUAGGAAAUAUGUUUCUUAACUAAUAAGAAACAUAUAAUUCAUCUUUAUUCUUAACUUAUUAGGAUAAAUUUCAAUCCACAUUUUAUGUGGAUCGGAUUGAAUUAAGACCCACCAAUAUAGACAUACCAAAUGACAACAGUUUAGAACUUCCAAACUCCCAAAUAUUAAUAAACCUACUGCCAUUAAUACAAGUAAAGAUUGAAAAACUAGUAAGUGUUAGGCUUUUGCCUAUGGCUCCUCAGUUUACUGUCGAAAAGCUGUAGCUAAUGUCUUAUUUCAUGAUUCUCUCCCACUCAGAGUUUUAGGUUUGCACGAUCUCACGAGAUAAAAUGACUAAACGGUAGCAUUUGGUUCGGGUAUAAGUAAGAACUAGUUAUUACAUGGAUAGGUAUAAACAUAAGGAUAAGAAAAAUAGCGUUUGGAUGAAAAUUGGGUUGUUUCGAAGGAUAAAAAAAAUAGCGUCUGGAUAGAUAAUAUGGAAUAAGAAAAAUAGUAGAUAGUUAUAUAUAGAAAAUGGAGGUGUUGGUGAGAAUAGUUAUACCAGAUUAUUUUAGAUAACCGAGAAUUACUAUUUUCAAAUAAAAAAUUUACGUUUGAAUAUAAAAGGGAAUAAGAAGUUAUCCCUCCCCUUAUCUCCAAUCCAAACACUGUCUUAGGGAUUGAAGCGCCUUGAGUUGCCAAUGACACCUUGGUUUCUAAUGCUUCAGUUCCCACACAGUACUGUGAUGCUUCGGCUCGUACAGUAACUUCUAAAAGGAUCUAAAAUUAUUAUAAUAUUUAAGAAAAACUUUAAAUACCUCCCUUGUGGGUUCACUUUUUUUCACUUUAGUACCCUGGGGUUUAAAGUGUAUCAAGUUAGUACUAUGUGGUUUUGCACUUUUUCACUUUAGUACCCUGUGGUUAAAGUGUAUCAAGUUAGUACCAUGUGGUUUCGCACUUUAUCACUUUAAUAUUCUAUGAUUUCGCACUUUAUCACUUUAGUACCAUGUGGUUUAAAAACCAUAAGGUACUAAUUUUAUACAAAAAUAAAACCACAUGAUACUAACUUGCUAUAAAAAUAAAACCACAGAGUACUAAUUUGAUACACUUUUAACCACAGGAUACUAAAGUGAUAAAAUGAGAAACCAUAGGAUACUAACUUGAUACGCUUUAAACCACAGGGUACUAAAAUGAAAAAGUGCAAAAUCAUGUGGCGGUUUUUGAAGUUUUUCCUAAUUUUUAAAUUUGUGUGACCGUCAAGAACUGACAUGUCUCAUGUCACAUCCUGGGAGUUUUGAACGUGGAUGCAUUGAGGAUUAGAACCUGAAUCAGGUAACCUAUCUCAAGCUAUUUAAUGGUCUUUAUUUCUCUGAAAAAUCCAUUAUUGUUAGUUGCUGGCACUAAAAUCCCCCACAUUAUUGGGUUGCCAAAUCAUUCCUCUUUUUUUUUUUUAAUAUUUUAUUUUUAAUAAAAGAAAAAAAUUAUACAAUUAAAAAAUGGGCUAAUUGCGUACAGAUUUCCGCAAACAUAAUGAAUUACAAAUAUAUCCAUUUUAAAUUGAACUUUCAUAAAUUAUUCUUGCAAAAGUCCUAAUUUUUUCAGAUAUGUCUCUCUGAUUUGUUACUGUUAAAAAAUUAUUUAUAUUUUCAAUUUUGCCAUCACAAAUAUGUCCCUUCAAAAAUUACAAUAGUAUAAUAUAAGAGGGGUAAAAAUAUAAUAUAAAAGUUGAACUUUACAGGAAUAUAUCUGUAAUUCAUUGUGUUUGAGGAACCCGUAUACAAUUGACCCUUAAAAAAUUAUGAAGACAGCUUUAUUUAAAGUGAAUCGGGUAUUCAAACAAGAAAUAAUUUAGAUCUAAAUGUUAAAAAGUAGGUGAAAUUAACAAAAUAUUAAAUUACAGAGUUUUCUUUUUUUCUUUUUUUUUUUAAGAAAAAAAAACUAAGAACAAAUAAAAACUGAAAAGUUGUACCCUGCCCAAUAAACUCUCACUUGGAUACUGCUAAAUAUAAAAAUAUUUAAACACCGUUCUACAGUAGCGACAGAUUCCUCCUCUCUCCUCUUCUGCUCCUUCGAUGAACUCGGCUAUUGCUGAAAGUUCAUACGUGGGCAGGCAGGGGGCCCCACUACUUCUUCAUUCAGGGGGGACUAGCCUCAUGACGUCCCACUGGGCGAGAGGUAGGGAUGCAAACGGGGCGGAUCUGGGGGCGGGAGACCCGCCCCGCCUCCCGCCCCGACUAGCAAAAAUCCGCCCCGCCUCCCGCCCCGAAUCCGUGACGGGUUAAAAAAUACAUCCCAUAAUCCGCCUCGCCUCGUAACCCGCCUCCCGCCGGCGCCCCGAAUCCGCCCCGCCAACUAAUAUUUUUUAUAAAAUUAUAAUAUUAUUAAUAUUUUGUAAAAUAUAAAUUAAUAAUUGUUAAUAAUAUUAUAUAUAUAAUUUAACAAUAUUAAUAGUAAAAAUUAAAAAUAUCAAUCACAAUUCAAAACAAAAUUCAAAUAUUUCAAAUACAUUAGAAAUGAGAGUAAUAACUUAUUUGUAUUUUAAACUUUUUUUAUAAAUAUAUUAUUUUUUGGGAAUAUUUUUUAAAAAUACAAAUGAUAUUCGGGGCGGAUUCGGGGCGGAUUCGGGGCGGGUCAAAAUUUUUCCCGUUUCCUGCCCCGAAUCCGUCUCGGAUCGUAAAACUUAUCCCGUUUCCUGCCCCGAAUCCGUUUAUUUUCUCCCAUUUACUGCUCCCGUCGGGGCGGAUCGGGGCGGGAGCUCCACCAACCCGGAUCCGUUUGCAUCCCUAGCGAGAGGUGUACCUAACUUAAGCUUUUAGAGUACAACAGUUGUUUCACAUGGUAUCACAGCAGAAAGUCCUGAAUUCGAGUUGCGCCAGACUCCUAGCAUAUUAAUUUUCCUCCCAUUUAAUUCAAGCCCACGUCAUGAGCCGAUUAAAAAGUCUCGAGCCCAGACGUGAGAGGGAGUGCUAAAUAUAAAAAUGUUUAAACACCGUUCUCUAACAGCUUAAGCUUUUAGAGUACAACGGUUGUUUCACAGACACUAAUAAAUUAUUUUGAAGUUAAUUUACAUUUUUAGUCCUUAAAUUAUAAGGCGAGUGGCAUUUUGAUCCUCCAAAUUAUAGUUUGUUGCAAUUUUUAUUUCAAAUUUAUUAAGUUAUUACACUUAAUAGUAAGUGACAGUGUUAUAGUUAAUUAAUUAUAUAAAAAUGACUAAAAUAUCACAUCAUUAUUAUAUAAGUGCCAAAUCGGCACCUUGUUAACUAAAUCAGAUUAUAGAAUUUAAUUGCAAUAAUUUAGAAACUUCGAGCAAAAAAUUAUAGUAAAUUAAAAUUUUGAGAACCCAAGGAUCACCUACCUCACAAUUUGAGGACCAAAACUAUAAUUUAUUUAUUUUUUAAAAUAUCAUUUUAGCAUAAAAUUAUUAUAUUGUCUUUAAUUAGAUUAUUUGCUAUAUUCUAUAUAAUAGUGAAACUAAAAUAAGUGCAACAUGCUUGCUCUAAUUUCUUCUUUUUUUUUUUCAGAGGGACCAAAUAUAAAAUAAAAAAUAAAUAUAAAAAAUUAUAAAAAUUAUUGAAUAUAAUUGGUAAGAAAUAUUGUGUAAGAAAAGAACAUGAAUCAUUUUGAAUUAAAAUUGUUUUCGACAUACUACUUUUAUAUUCUAAAAAUUAUAUAUGGUGGCAUUAUUAGAUAGGAUUAUUUUUACAUCCAAAAUGGAUGUAAGUUUUCAAAUUUUAUUUUUUAUAAAACUAAUUAGAUAUUAGAAAAUAAAAUCAACUAAGCUGAUUUUAAAUUAUUAGACUUUAAUAUAAUUUCAGCAAAAAGAAUCCAGCCUGUUUGAUUAAAAUCGGAUCGGUUUAUCAGAUCAUAGUUAGUUAAUUCGGAUUCGGCAAAAAUUCGGUACGGAUAUAAUUCGAAUAAAAUUUAUAUCUUAAUUUUUAAAUUCGUUGAAAAUUAUGGCUUAGUAAAUAGGUUCGACAAUUAUUCAGAUACACGAUUUAUGUAGAAAUUAUAUGCUCACUAAUUAAAAAUUCAGGAUCAUAAAUUCGGCUAUUAAACAAAAUUUUUUUCUUCAGAUUUAUCCUAUUAGUAUACAUAAUUAUAAAUUCUUAAGAAUAUAUAAAAAUAGAGAACUAUAAAAUAAACUAGAUUAAGUAAAAAAUUAAUAGCAAAUUUUAUUGUCAUCUCCAUCUUUAUCUUUUCUAUGAUCUACAUAGUCCGGAAAUUUAUAAAGUUUUUUAAUAAUUUGUAAAUAAUUCGGCAAUAAUUUGAAAAGAGAUUUUAUUUAAAAAAAUUUGCAUAUUUUUUUGGCCGAAUAGAUUAGAAUACGUGAAUUAUUUGUAAAUAAUAAAUUUAACCUAAAAAUUUGCAUUUUAUUUUAAUUUUUUUGGGAAUAAAUCGCAUUCGCAUUAUCUUAUUCUAAUUUUUAAUAAUUUAUAAAUAAUUCACGUAUUAACUAACUAUGUAAGAGAGUCAAUAAUUGAACUGCCCAUUCAAACAGUUUAAAAAAGUAUUUUUGACUUAUUUAGUUUAUAUAAUUGAAUUGGAACGUUCUAUAAACUAGAUUACAGUGGUAUAAAAAAGUAAAAAAAAAAGGGGAAACUUCAAAUACCCCCCUGUGGUUUCUCAUUUUCUCAUUUUAGUACUCUGUGAUUUACACUGUAUUAAUUUAGUACCUGUGGUUUCGCACUUUUUCACUUUAGUACCCUGUGGUUUCAAGUAUAUCAAGUUAGUUCUAUGGUUUUAUUUUUGUAUCAAGUUAGUACCCUGUAGUUUCAAUUUUUUCUUUUUAUUAUCCAUUUCGAGGUAUAUAAUUUAACUUAAUAUUAAGCCAUAUGGUAUUAAAGUGAGAAAGUGCGAAACCAAAGGGUACUAACUUGAUACACUUUAAACUACAGGGUACUAAAGUGAGAAAGUAUGAAACCACAUGGUACUAAUUUGAUACACUUUAAGGUACUAAUUUGAUACACUUUAAACCGUGGGAUCGUAAAGUGAGAAAGGACGAAACCACAGGAGCGUAUUUGAAGUUUUCCCAAAAAAUUGAAACGAAAAGGAAUGGCAAAACCCCGUAAUUUAGAAAAAAUGUGAGGGCAAUUUUCUAUCCACGCCUCAAUCUCCCUCCUCCCUCCACCCUCUUUAAAAACCCCAAAUCCCCCAAAUCACCUCUCUCCUCUCUCUCUUUCUCUCUCUCUCUCUCUCUCUCUCUCUCUCCCGAUGGAGUAGCCAUGGGCGGCGGCGGAGGCGGAGGCGGAGGCGGAGGCGGAGGCUGUGGGGGGCUGCGGCGGCGGCGGCGGAGGUAGGAGGAGCCGGAGCACGUGCGGAGGGCGCACGGGGGCUACUUCGGCGUCUUCGCGAAGCUCCUUGGCGACCACAACAAUGGCGCCGAAGACGAUGGUGAGGAGGAGGAGGAGGAGGGGGAGGUGUGGGUCGCGUAUAGGGCGGCGCGAGGGGAGCUCCCGCAGGAGGAGGAAGAGGAGGGUUACGAUGGGUUCGUGGUGACGGGGAGCUGCAGCGACGCCCACGGCGACGAUCCCUGGAUCACCGACCUCGUCCGCUUCCUCCAGAAGCUCAUCGCCUGCCGCAAGAAGGUGCUCGGCAUCUGCUUCGGCCACCAGGUACCUGCUCGACAAAAUGCCUCCUCCUCCUCCUCCUCCUCCUCCUCCUCUCUUUGGAGCGCAAAUGUACGCUCAAAACAUAGCUACCACGCCACGGUACAACAAGCAUGUCGAUGUACACAAAAAAUAGAAAAAAAGAAAAAAGAAAAAACUAAAAUGCUUAAUUAUGCGCGACACAUAAUAAUAUAAAAUAUUUAGGGCAAUUGCUUCGACCUAGUCUUCCAUAUUAUCAAAUUGCUUAGAGCUACGCCUUCGUGAUAUUAAGAUGUGACACUCUAAUAAUUUCGCAUCAAAUAAUUAUUACUAAGUGUGUAUAUAAGUUUGAUUAGAUUAGAUAUAAUAAUUGAGUUUGAACAUUAUAGGCCGUUAUUGCUAGUGGAUCGAAUUGUUACAAAAAAUAUUGAAAAAUUAUGAAAUUUAAUUUUUUAAUAGUUUCAAUAGUUUAGGCCAAAUCUAACAGUGCUGAUCGUUGAUUUGAAAAUCGUAUCAUCGAAAAUAAUUUAGUAGUGUGCUACCGAUAGUAUAGCUGCUGAACUCCAAUUGCUUGUAUAUAUUUUCUGUGAAAUUACUAUUUAUAUAACCUUCACAUUUUUCUUAUUUGACUUUUAAGUUAGUAAUAAAAAAGUAUUUUAAGUUUGUAAAUUUUUUGACCUUUCAAAUUUAUCUUUUUAUCGUCAUUAAUUUUUUUUGUAUGUUUCUUUUAAGUUAGGAAUAAAAUAAAAAAAGUAUUUUGAUUUUCUUUUCUUUAAAUUUUAAUAUAAAUUUAAUGGGAUUUAACCAAAGGUGACUUAACAUAACAAAUAGUGGGAAUAUUUUUGAAUAAUGAAAAAAUAUACGAAAAAUAUAUUUGAAAUAAAAAUAGCGAUAUAUAAAAUAUUUCAGAAAUUUUGAGAAAUAUAUAGAUAAUUAUUUUAAAAUAUAUAUAUAUUUUUUAACACUAACAUAUUCUAAUUAUUUAUAAUAUAUUUUUAUUUAAUUUUUUAUAUUUUUUAAAUAAAUAUUAGCUAAUUUUAAAACAUAUGAGAUUUUGAGCCAUGCGGGUAAAAAGUAAGUUUUUUUGUCACGUGGUCUCUGAAUUUUAAAGGCGUGUUCCAAUUUAAAAAUUUUUCGUCCAAAUUUUAGAUAAAUACUAUUUUUUUUUUACCGUUGUUUAAUUGAUAAAAAAUGAGUGGUUUUAAAAUUAUAAUAUAUUCUAUUUUUUAUUUAUUUUAUCAUAAUUUUUUAUAUCAGUAUAUAAAAGAGUAAAUAAAAAGUUACAGCAUUUAAUCUCGCCACCUAGAGCGAAGUUAAUUUAUAAGAUAAUAAAAUUACAAACGAAUUUAAUUGCCAUAAUACUAUAUAAUAAAUCAAAUAUAUAUUUACGGUGGAAACAAAAAAACUUCAUCCUUUUUAGUUUGUUUUUUUAUUGGUCAUACUUCUAAAUAUAGAGGGAAAAUUUCAAAUACCGCUCAUGUGGUUUCACACUUUCUUACUUUAGUAUCAUAUGGUUUAAAGUGUAUCAAUUUAGUGGUCAGUGGUUUUAUUUUUAUCUUUUUAUUAUCGAUUCCACCAAUUUUUUUUUCAUUAAAUCAGUGACAAGGUUAAAACUAAAGAAUACAUAUUUGAUAAAUCUAGAUGGAUAUUUGAAGUUUUAUAUAUUUAAUUUAACAAAAUAUUAACGAAAAAGUUGACGAAAAAAUAAAAAUGAAACCACAAGACACUAAUUUGAUACACUUUAAACCACAUGGUGGUAUUUGAAGUUUACCCAAAUAUAUAUAUUGUCCCUGACUUUGAUGUGACUCGACCUCAUAACCCUCCAUAGCUCUUAGCCAAUAGUCUCAUAUGCAUAAUAAAGUGCUACAAAAUGGUCCCAAUGGUCCCAAAGACUCAAUAGAUCAAAUCUUGUGAGAAUCAGUUUUGUGCAUGGUCCCAAAUGCUUCCUAGACCACACCAACAAGAGAUCCCAUAUUGUGUGAAAAGGAAUGCAUAUGUUUUAAGAUAAUGAUUUAUUUUACAGAUGGUUAUUAUUUUGUUAUAUGCUUCGAUCCUCAAACUUUAAUUUGUUAUAAGUUUUAGUUCAAACUUUUGAAAUAACUGUAAUUAAGUCCCAUAACCAGAUUUGUUAACUAGAUUUGUGUGACUAUAUAUUAAUAAAUGACCGAUGUAGAAAUGAUAUAGCAUCUUAAUUAGUAUCGUAUUAUCGCGACACAUCAAUGUUUUGUUGACUAAAUUGGGAUGUAGGAUUUAAUUGCACUAAUUCAGAAAAUUCAAGUCAGAAAUUAUAACAAAUUAAAGUUUGAGAAUUAAAGUAUCACACGCCUUAUAGUUCGAUGGCCAAAAAUGUAAAGAGAAAACUUUAAAUACCAUCCCUGUGAUUUCGCACUUUGUCACUUUAGUACUAUGUGGUUUAAAAUGUAUUACUUUCGUACCCUAUGGCUUCAUUUUUCUCUUUUUGUUAUCUCAUCUAUUAUUUUUUUUUGUUAAAGCAGUGACAAACUUGAAGUUAAAGGGUAGUAAAGUAAAUAUUCGACAAACCACAGGUGGGUUUCUGAAGUUUUUUGUAUAUAAUUUAACGAAAAGUUAACGGAAGGGCUGGCGAAAAGAGAAAAAUGAAACUAUAAGGUACUAAAUUGAUACACUUUAAAUUAUAGGAUAUUAAAGUAAAAAAGUGCGAAACCACAGGAAUAGUAUUUGAAGUUUAUCCAAAAAAAUGAAAAGUGCGGAUGCUCCUGUACAGUACAAAUGCCAACUGUUGGAUCAAAAUUAGUAGAAUUUUGGGGUCCAGUGUGGCCACAACAUCACAUGAUAUGGUUUCAUCUAAUAAUGGUGUUAUUUUGGGCUUGUAGUCGGGAAAAUUAAUGGAAUGUCUUGAUCGAAUGGAGCUAGAAUACUUUUAGAAGCACCAACCCUUGGUGCUUCUAAGUUUCUAGCCUUUAAAUUUACUCCUUUAUUACUAAUACCCCUUGGAUCAAGCACAAUCAUUCCAAUUUUACAUUUCUUCAUCCAAGGGUUAAAAACUUAAAAGCACCAACCUCUUGGUGCUUUUGAGAGUAUUCUAGUUCAACUCUGUCUUGAUCUCUAUCAUACAGAAGAAUUAUUAUUCUGUAAAUUUCUUAAUGGAAGAGUUCGUUCUUAUUUGACCUUGCUGUAAAGUAUAAUAUUGUUUAAUAUAAUACUUUUAGAGAAGUGCUUUUAGGAGAAAACUUUUCUGGCAAUAAUAGAAGCAUUAAAUUAGAAUUCCUACUUUUGAGGAUUGGAAUCUUAUGUAAGAUUUAUACUGCAACAGAAGUUUCAAAUAGUUUAAUUUAUCAAAUGCUCUACUAAAGAUAACUAUAGCUGAAAUCAGAAGCACGCGUGAUCAGGCUAAACAACCUUAUAAUAGGCUAUGCUAUUGCAUUAGCGAAAGUUUUAAUCCACCAUUACCAUAUAUAGGCAAACAAAUUUUCUCAAUUGCAUAAUCCUCAAAAGAUCUUCAAAUUAUGUGAUUGAUGUUUCCAUUUUACUAGUAGAGACUUCAGACUUUGUUUGUUUGGGUUUUUUUUUUUUUUUGGCUUUCUUGAAGUUUUUAUACCCUAACAAUUGUGACAGAUUCUAUGCCGGGCCUUAGGUGGGAAGACUGGCCGGGCCGCGAAUGGAUGGGACCUAGGAGUGACCUGCAUCCACCCCUCUCAUUCGACGAUCAAGCGGCUCUCCGUGCUCCACAUCCCCCCUCAUCUUCCGGUCAUUGAGUGCCACCGCGACGAGGUACAUCAAAACUGCUUUCCUAUAUUUGCUCUUCUGUGGCUCAACUACUGAAGUAACUUCUCUUAGCCGAGAAGCACAAACCGAGUUUUCAACUAGUAGUCGUGAAAAUUUUGAAUAUACCCAUCGAAGUUGUGACAAAUACGAACAAAAAUAUGAAUCACGGAAAGAGUAAGCAUGAGAUAGUCUCUAGCAAAAUAAUACGAGUUUUGCGCACAAAGUGCAGGUGUGGGAGGUGCCUCCGCAGGCAGAAGUAAUGGCUAGCUCGGAAAAGACCGGCGUCGAGAUGUUUCGAUACGGAGACCACAUUCUGGGCAUCCAGGGGCACCCUGAGUACACUAAGGACAUCCUCUUGCAUCUCCUCGACCGCCUUCUCCAAUGCAAACUUAUUCAGGUCAUACUCAAUAAAUGGUCUCCCUAAUUUACUACAAACUUAUAUGUUUCUUUUUUUUUUUUUUUUCCAAUGUAGGGCUUCACAGAGUUCCAUGAAUGUAGGCUAAAUGGGUUAUCAAACAAACUUUUCGUCACUUUAGACUUUUACUCGACGGUAUCUUUGAUUGAUGCUAGUUUCAGUAUUAUUGUAACUUCGCAUAAACUUUGAUUCAGAAAAAGGAAAAAAAAAAAAAAAAGAUUCACUAAACACUUUUAACUGAUCUGAGGAAAAGUUCCCGUUGCGAAAGCUACGCGAGUUGUACUCACCAAAGCUUAUCCUUACACUUGUAGCAUGUACUCUUCAUGAGGAUCCUAAACAGUUUUGAUGUUUUGUUGCAGAGUAGUCAUGCAGAAGCAGCAAAGGCAAGCUUAGAAGCGCAAAAGCCCGAUCGCGAGGCGUGGAAGAGGCUCUGCAAGGAAUUCCUCAAGGGGAAGUUGUUCUCGACACAAUAUAUUGUCGAAGAAGCUCAAAUUAGAAGCCGCCUCGGUUGAUUUCCCCAAUUUGUACAUAAACAUUUCAGCGAAGGGUCUGCGGGGUAAAGAAUAAUUUGGUUCAUAAUUGGUUAAUGUAUUUGUUGUUCUGCAGCAAUGGAUUUAGACAAUCCACAAUUUGAGGAUUUUCCUACAAUGAAAAACUUUAGCCUUUAUGGCUCGACUGCGUCACUCUAAAGCAAUUUUCGCAUUUGCAGGCCAACUAAAGAUUGACAGAAAAAGAUUUAUAAAGAUAAUCACAUAUUAUGCGACUGGAAUUAGGUUUGAAUCGAUGAACACAGACUCAAUCUGGUAAGGAUGGAACAAGAGAGAAAUCAAACUGCAUUGUAAACAUAGGGGCGGUUUUGGAUGCAGGGAUCUCACGCACGACAAACUCGCUCAGUCUAGCAGAGUGCAGGCACAGACAUAAGUAACACGAGCCGCAUAUGAUCAGUCAGUAACAGCCACAACUUCACAGAUGUAACAAGCUAUCGACUUCAACACCCGCCAGCACGAAGUCAAAGUCCAAGAAACAAACACAGCACCCUUGAUCCUGCAACCAACCUAGAACACUCACAGAUCAAAAUGGAAGAGAUUGAGGACGAUCACGAUUACGAUCAUUCUCGACUCUGAAGAAAGUUAACAGAGUAGGAAAUAAUCAAAGCAACUGAGUCGCCCGUCGUGGGCCAAAAAUGCAACUCACAUCAGAUUCAGAUUAAAACAAAUAGUGUUUGUUACUAGCCAAUCCCCGAAAACCAAACAGAACGCAUCUGCACAAAUUAAAUAUGCUAGUUUUCCUUUAAGAGAAGGAAAAAAAAUGAAAAGAAUAUUAAAUUGUUUUAACUUUCACACCACAAAAUGAAAAGAAAUGAAAAAAAAAAAAACCUAGAAGAAUAAACAAAAUUACCUCAUCUUCAGCUACAGGCGUGUGUAAUUACUUCAACAUUUUUAUCACACAUCGGGCAACCAUGAACAUUCUAUGACGCACACAAAAACAAGUGUAAUCAUGUCAAUUUUUUCGAGCAAUUUUUGCUACAUGUACCUACAAAUUGAACACGCUGAUCAUCCUUACAACGACAUACCAUAGUUCAGAUGGAUCACGCUCCUAUAUUACCAAGCCAGAAGAAAAGAGGGAUCUGCGCGAUCGCCAUGAACAGCAGCAGAUAGUGCUGCCUGCUGGAAUGCCGAUCGUAGCUCCUCAUCUCGGUGAACAGUACCCUCUUCAUGGUUUUCACCAGGAACAUCCCCAUGCAGAUACUCGUCCAAGGCAGCAAGAAGUAAUAGCAGUGACUCCACAAGAGCCUAGAUAUGAUGGAUAGGCAGACACCCGUGAACAAGUACCCGCCGUACGCCGCAAUGUCGAGCAGAGGUGCCUCCCCGCCGCCCAUCGAAUAGAGAAGUCCCUUCAGUAACGCGAUUUGUAUAAGCCAUCCAGCUAGUCCCCUCGUGAACUGUAGGCUUAGGGCUUCUGGACUGAACCUGCACAGAAACUUACGGAUUGUAGUGUUGAUGCGUCUCAUUUUUUAGGUACGAAGGGUCUGUUUGGCCCAGUUGGAGCUUCUGUAAUAGGGUUGCUCAAGAAGAAAUUUUCAAAGAAGCCCUUACAAUUUUUUAGUUUAUUGCUUAAAUACGAGCAGCUUCAAAUUGGAGCUUGUAAUCUUUCGGGUUAAAAAAGAGUUUCAGCUUCCCAUGGCCAGAAGCGCCAGGUUUAUUGUUCGCCAACCGCGUGGCUUUCUACCUCUCUAAAGUAGAAAAGUGACUCUGAAAUCCAGGCCAAACAGACAUUUAUUCUAUGGUGCAGUUUAAUAACUUACUUUCCCAAGAAACCUAGGGAGAAGCCCGCAAGAAUAACAUAAGUACCAAACGCCAUGAAAGGGAUGUACAGGUCUGGAGCAUUUAUGUCAUAAAUUGGAGGUUUAUAAGAGAGCCUUCCUCCAACAGGCUCAGUUAUCCUCGUCCAGUGCCCCUGAGAAUAAAUUUUAAAAAAAUGUUUUUCUUGGGCUUUGGUUGGAGAGGAACGCAUUGGAACAGAUCGUAGUUAUCAAAGGAAAGGUUGGUCUACCUUAUGUAGGAACGGAAACAAAACCACUUUCAACUUGUUCCGCACAUAUUGAUCGUUCACUUGAAAAUAAUACUGAGGGUUGGAGAAGUAUGUGCUAAUCUGUUCACCAGAGCAUAGAAAUAAGAAAAUGGUUCAAUUCUAAAAAAGGAAAAAAAAAAUAGUAAACAGAACCACAUACUGAGGCAAUAAGAUUCCAAAUUGCACAAUUAUGAAAUAAAAUUAAUGGCUAACUUCACUACUUGCACUCCACCGCUCUAAAAUAUAAAAACCUACAUUUAACUCCCUCAAUGUUUAGUAUAUUAGCACUCCAUCCUCUUCUACUCAAAUUUUCCACUCAAGUUCUGUUAGAAAGUUUUAGACUCCAGAUGGCGUAUAAUGGGUAUUUCAGAUCAUAUUUUUAACUUAGACUAACAAACACCUCCGAACUAAAAAUGUAAAAGAAAGCGAUUAAGUGCUAAAGGCCUAAACAACACUAAGGAUAUUAAAUGUAUAAUCUUAUAUCAAAGACGGGCAGAUUGCAAAUGGCAGUAUUUCAAAGGGAAAUAAAAGCCAUUUUGCAGACCACUUCAUCUUUUUUUUUCUUUUUCCAAUUUGAUCAACUUCUUUCAUAUUUUCCCAUAUAUGAGCACAUAUAUCUUUUCACAGACUGAAUUAACCCUAUGUGACGCCCCAACUUCCCAGGGUGUCACCCAUCCUAAGACUACUCUAGUUCUAGCACGCUUAACUCUCUUAACCUUUUGGACUUAGCCGCCGCCCAAAAUGCUAUAACCGGAUUAAGAGUUUUAGCCCUAUCUUAUAUAUAGGAUUACCUGAGGUCUCAUAUUCUCCACCCCUUUAAACCCUAAUAUCCUCGUCAGGUUCAGACUCACAAGUACUAGGCGAUGUGAGACUCAUCUCGCUAGCCUUAACGGCUUAACCGAUCUUGUAGGAGAGUAGUGUUCUACCCAUACCAGUCAUCAGCAUGAGAGUCUCAUUCUCCCCACUGUAUAACCUGGCUCGGCCGAAAUUCAUCUCACACUUCCGGCUGGUAAUUAGCUCUGAUACCAACCGUGACGCCCCAACUUUCCAGGGGUCAUCCAUCCUAAGACUACUCUAGCCCUAACACGAUUAACUCUUUUAACCUUUUUAGCCUAAACACUGCCCAAAAUGCUAUAGUUGGAUUUAGAAUUUUAGUCCUAUUAUAUCUUAUAUAUAUAGGACUACAGACUACCUGGAGUCUCACAACCCUAACUACAGUUAUAGAGUGCAUAAAUUAAUCACAGCAUUAACCAAGGACAUUGAAGCCCUUGAAAAGACAAUUUGAACAUAAAGGAAAACAUGAGAAAAAUAGAAAAUAAUUUCAAAAUCAAUAAAAUGGCAGAUUAUUUUUUGUAAAAACCCAAAAAUUAAAAUAAACAAUAGUAUAUUACUUUCCAGAUUAUUUUUGCAAAAAUCCAAAAGUUAACAUAAACACUGGGAUAUUAAUUUUAUGCAUCUCUAAUCACAUAUUACUUACAUUGCUUUGCAUGAACUCGGAGCUCGAACCCAACCAUUUUUCUCCAUAUGCUCCCAAGCCAGUUCUAAUGAAACCUGACCCUGCACCAUAAAAUGCAUUGCCAAAUGGGUUUGGUUGAGGAGCUGUUGGGGGUCUCUGCACCCCAGCCUGAUUGCCCAGAUUAUCAUACAUUGCUGGAACAAGAAUUACUGUGCUUCAGAUUGCAAUUCAAGCCACUAAAGAAAUUAUCUGACUAAAAAACCAUGAAAGUUUAACUAAUAAUUCAAUAGAAACUUGGACAUUCUAUACUCCAGAUUUUCAUAAAGUGGCUGUCUAACAAUAAAGGUGCUCGAUUUCUGAAUAGACAAAUAAAAUGAGAGAGAAAGAACAAGGGCAAGGAUCUUUUUAUGCACUGGGUAAUGGUACAGUGCCUGUCUAACAGUAGCUGGGAUAGAUAUUUUAGAUGAAACAUCAUAAAAUCAUAUCUGGAGCAAAUAAGUGUCCUCUUGAGCUCGAUGGACAAUUAAACAUUGGAAUAAUUUGUAGGUUCAGAAUCCAGAGCCCUCUUUUGGAGAAACUUUGGCUGAUAAAGAUGUCUGAUCAGCUUGCAAGUACAUGCCACAUGAGGCAAACUAAGUCGUUAGUUAAAGCAGAUAGCAUCAAAAUUUCAAUCCCAUGCACAUAACAUGCUAGUUCUUUCUACUUAAGCUAUGGUUUCCUUAGCCAUAGUUUGAAAUUUACAACACAAAGGCCUUGUUUGAUAUGGUUCCUUUUUUUUUUUCCUUAAAUAAAAUCCAUGUAACAGAAUGUGCGAGUGGAUGUGAAGUGCUUGAUGGUUAAGUCCACACAUCUAAGAGGUUUGUUUGGCAGCAAAAAACAUAAACUUGGUAGUAACCGUCUUUUAACUCUGUUUUUUCAAACAAGAUGCCUUUUCUCAUUCUACCUUGUUGCAUUAAAAGCCAACUGCCAGCCAAUGAUGACAAGAGUAGAGAGUGUAACCAUCUAUAAUUUCAUUUAUAGAGGAAAAAAAGAAAACCUAAAUGAGGCCUAAAUUGUAUAUAAAAAUUCUCUCAAAUCUACAAGAAAUAAUAACAAACAACCACCAACUAACUUUAGUCCGGGAGCACUUAAAUUCCAACUUUAAAGCACAAAAGCACCCUUUAAUAAAAUAAUAUUUAGGCAUCAAGCGCAAAUAUACAAAUGAUCAACAAUCAACUCAGGACAUACUAUAGAGAAGACAUAAGCCAUCACCAUAUCCGUAUGUGCCAAGAAUAAUGGUCACCAUAAUCAUACAUCCCUAUACCGGAUAGACCACUAAUAGCCCAAUAAUUUGUCCAAAAAACCAAGAGAGUAACAUGACAAAAACUGGCUCCCAAAAGUUCAUAGUGGGCUGUCAGCCAAAAUAUAGUUUAUUUGUUCUGGAAAAGUCUGAGUGCAGUCCGAUCUAGCCUUAGAAAAGAUUCUCGCAUGGCUAGUUCCAUCUUCCUUAGGUAUAAAACUUAAUCGUUCUUUCCUGAUCCAGGAUGGGUAAACUUAAGGCAAUACUUAAUAUAUAUAAUUCCAGUCUUAAUUCAGCUUCAAUUGGGUCAUUAAACUGAAUAUGUCGAUGAAUUGAGUCAAUGAGGUUCACAAACCUGUUAAGGUAUUCCAUUCGAAUUGUAAUCAGUUUCGAACUGAAUGGCUUGAGUCAAUAUAGGUUCUAUUCAUUUGGCCCAUCACUUCUUUGGCACAUAUAAAAAUUAUUACCCUUGAAUCUUAUGGUCACGACCCCUCAUAAGCUCUGGUUGUCUAUAGUCAAUCCCAUGGAAGAACCCAAACCUAUCAUGCACCACAGUUCUUAAAAUAGUGAAGCCAUAAUACCGUAGAAAAUCCGAAUAAAUCGACCAACACAUAUCACCAAUAUAGAACUUGUGCAUUGACAAUUCUUGGAUAAAUCAUAGAUCUCAUCUGACACAUGUUGACAACAAUAAAAAAUUUACCAAAUCUAAGAAAGAUGAAACAACUUUGCAGUGUUUUACAGAGAUCUUGGAGGCAUGUGCCAUCUCAAACUAAGAGUAUUGAUUUGAAGAAAAAAAAUAUAUAAGAAAACAUUAAAAGUUGAGCAAAUCAACAGACAAAUUAUUGUAACCCUACUCCAACAAAGGAGAAAAGCAAACACGUUAUAAGGAUGCAACUCCUUGAUGAUAAAUGUAUCAAUUGCUUCUCAAGGGUGGAUGAUUUAGAACAGUUACUUCUUAGGUAAUGGAGAUUUGCUACAGACAUCACCAAGAUCUAGCCAAACUAGGUAAUAUUUCCUACUCUCAUUGUAGGGAUAAUAGUCAACCAAGAACUCAAGCAAGCACUAAAGCAAGCUCAAUCCAGUUUCCAGAGGCUUGACUUGAUCACAUAAUUAAUGAGUUUGGCAGUUUCUAACUUUAUAUUAACAACUUGAGGGCCAUAACAACUUAAGGGACAUAAUCAGCUAGAAUCCCUCUCUAAUAGAUGCAAAAGAAUAAAAAUUAUUUACUAGCUAAGCUGUCGCAAAUUUGAAUCAUAUCAGGACUCAAUUUUCAGUUAAGAUUUGUAUGAGAAUCCAUCACAUUUCUAUAAAAGGCUGUAGCAAACAAAUAGAACUGCUCUUAGUCUCCAUUCUUUGACAAUAAAGACAGUUUGCAAUCAACAAAGAUCCUAAAAUAUUGCACUUCAUCUAUUAUGAAUUAUUGCACUAGAACACCAGACAGGCAGGAGAGGCAUCCCUUGGCCAUAAAAUAUCAUCAAGUAGACCCAUCAAACACUUUCUUCCCUUAGCCACUAUUAAAGAAAAGGUACAGGUACUAGCCACUAUUAAAGAAAAGGUACAGGUACUAGCUUGGAGUUUUAGACCACUAUCAAAGAAGAGUAGAGAAUUGCACGUAUAAAAAUUCAAAAAAAUAGAUUUGAUCCAAGUCAAAAUUUAUAUUGGAUUCCCAAAAUUAUUAAUAAAGGGGCAAACACGAAGAAUCUAUGAAUUACAGAUGAAUGUACAAAAGAAGUUUCAUUCCGUAAACUGAAGACUCAGUAUUGCUAUAACAAGAGUUGAAAAACCUUAUAGAUAACCUAAUAUUCUUGCAAAAUAUAUAGCUUUAUAAUAAAAAAAUAGAGUUUCGUUUCAGAAAACAAUGAAAAAAGAUAUUGAAUUAACAAAACAAACAAAUACAAAAGGAAUUCAAGUGCAAAUAGCAGGCCAUAUCGACGAAAAGCAGUGCUAAAGCAUCUGGGUUCAAGUCCAAGUGGCAGCAUCUUCUAAAAUAGAUACCAAAGAUCCUAAAAUGUAUUCAAUACCCGAUUUCCAAUUCUGUAAUGAGACACAUUCUAUAAUGAUCAUCCUUAAUCCUUAAUUGUCACGAUAGACAAUCAUCAAUGAAAACAUGAGUACCCGGUAUUAAAGAAAAUAAAAAAAAACACUAUCCAAGAAGCCAAUUUAUGCCACUAGCCUAAAAAACUCAAUUGUCAUGACUAAUUAGGCGAAUUAGUUCAUAUUCUACAGGGAAAUGCUCAAGUUGAAACGCUACAUGAGCUUCCCAAAUCCCUCCAACCUCUAGUAAUUGAACUAUUGAGAAUUCUACCAACAGCCACUCUCAAUCAAUACUACCCAAUGUUUGUUAGUUCACUAUCUUUCAAUUUAAUACCAAAGCAUAAUCUUUUAUCUGAAAAGAUCUUUCGAAUUUUAAGACUAGCUAUCGAUGUGGAAUCAAUCCUUCAAGAAAGGUGCAAAAUACUCGACAAAAUCACGACCAAUACAAACAGCUUAGGAUAUAAAUACAAUUAGGGUAUAUAUAUGUAUCCUUUCAUAGCUUAAACACAUGGAACCCAAAAUCAAUCCUCCAGAAGCUUAGCAACAUAUAAAUGGAUUACGCCAAUUCGUCACAAAUUGGAGUUGAUUGCAUGAAUAAAUCUAAAAAGCAAGUCAACAAACAGAACAUAUGUAAACAUAAGAUUGUGCCACGCCUUCAUAAUUAGCUCAAAUUUCACUUGUUUGAUAGAUGUGGAGAAGUGCAACACCUCGAUAGAGAACUGAAGUUAUUAACUUUCCAUUCAAAGGGACAUUUUUCCGUAUGCCAACUUGCCAACUUCUUCGACACGCAACCAAACCCAGAAUUUUUCGUGAUCAAAAUUAAUCAUUAACUCAAUUCUCUUCUCAGCCACCACACUUCGUAGACACACGAACAACCCCAGCAACCAAAACUCGAUAAUUUUUUGCGGAUUCAACAUCACAAACAUCACAAACCAAACCCUAACAGGAACAAUUUAACCCUAGAACAUACUCCACAAAUAGCCGAUAAUCAUAAGAUUAUAGAACCUGGAAACCUUAUAUUACGUCAGAAAGAAAGGGAAUCAAGAAGAACCGCAACAGCACUAGUAACCCGAAACAAUAGCGCACACACCAAAGCUCCGGGCUCAUAAGAGUCGAUCACAAACCCUAGCAAUCGAGUUCUGAAAAGGAAAACCUAGAGAGAGAGAGAGAGAGAGAGAGAGAGAGAGAGAUUAGGGCAACGAGGACAGAGAGGAGGAGAAGGGAGCUUACUUUUGAGGUCGAUUAGGGUUUGCGUUCGAGGGAGGCGUCGCCGCAGAGAGAGAGAGAGGGAGAGAGAGAGAGAGAGAGAGAGAGAUUCCCAGAACUAACGAGGAGGACGAACCCGUGGCUCGGGAUGUGGACUAGCCGGAUUCGGAUCGGAUUUAAAAAACUCGAGCCCCAACCCGACUCCACAUCCGAAACCUGAAUUCGAACCUUCGGAUUUAAAAUAUCCAUAUCCAAACUCAAUUCCGACGAAAAAAUUCAAAACCCAAACCCAGAUCCGAAGCAGAAACAAUUAUUUCUCUUUUCAAUAUUUCAAAAUAAAUUAUAUUAAAUCUAAAUUUUUAAAAUAUAAUUCAAAUAUAACAUCAAAUUUUUAUAUACAUAUUAUAGAUAAUGUAAAAUAAAUUCGGAUUCGAAUCGGGUUCAGGUCAGGUUUGGUUAAAAUCCAUAUUCGAAUCCAUAUUCAUUGGAUUUUUGUUUUUGAUAUUCAUAUCUGUUUAGUAUCAAAGAAAUUCACUUCAUUCGGAUUCGGAUUCGGAUAAAAUUUCGGGUAUCGGUACCCUUUGACAUCCCUACCCGUGGGGGUUAGGUGUAAAAGCGGCCGGGAGGCCCUUGUCCCACCUGGCCCGGCACGACUUGGGCCGGGCCGAAAAAUCUUUUCCACGCGGCCUGGUUUAAUGCACCGGGCCGUGCUGGGCCUUCUCCUAUUGGGCCGUUGGCCCAGCACGUUUUGUAUGGCUAAUAAAUUUUUCGCUAACCGACCAUCCCUAGAGUAAGUGGCAAAGGACUUGGUGAUUGGUAUCCGAGACCCAAGUUCGAAUCCUAAUUGAUUCACAUUUCUAGCUAAGUUUAUUUCUAAAUGAAAUAAAUAAAGCGGGUAGCGUGCUACCUAUCUCUCAAAAAAUAAAUAAAUAAAUAAAUUUUUCGCUACUCCAUAAUAUUGAAUUAACGGUUUAGAGGAAACCCAAUAAGAGAGAAUUAUUAGUUGCUCCUAAAUCACCGUUUUUUUCCCAAGUAAAAUUGCAUAUUUUUAAUAGAAAAGUUGUUUAAGAAGCCGCAGCAAACAGAGACAAGUAAAGAAGAAUGAGUGGAGUUUAUCUUAGGGCAUAUUUGUUUACGUGAAAGUGAAGAAGGGUGAAGUUGGUUUUGACCGUAAACGAUCACUUCUGCUAUUUUGUUCACCGUAAUAGAGAUACAGUUGAAACUUGAAUUAUUCGAAACAACUAAUUGACUUGUCACAGGUUCAAAGCCCUUUUCUUGAAAAGCCUAUGUGGCGCUCGUCCGUCACCUGCACGAACGAGCUAGCCAAUCCGUCCCCAGGCACAAUUUCGCAAUUUGGCAGCGACCGGAGUAAAGAAAACGGCACACAAUGGGUCCUACAAAUUGGCACAAACAAUAAGUAUUUUAUUGAUAACGAAAAAAUGGACUACAAUCGAAAGGCAUACGACUUGACUUGGUCGGACAUGACCGAUGAGGGCAAAAUGAACACUAAGAUACUCUGCAUAGGUGAAGAAAAAAAUAAUAAAGUAAUAUAUAAUGAGUAAAUCUAGUUAUAUUCAAAUAUAUAUGUAAUUAUGAUACUAAUUACUCUUUUAUUUAAUUUGCAUAUUUAAAAUAUGAUAAAAAAAUUGAUUAGUUAAAUUUUAGUAUUUCUUUAAUUUAGUUUUGUACAUUUAAAAUAUGAUAAAAAUUGAUUAGGUAAGUAUUAAUAUUUUUUUACUUUAUAAUUUAAUUGUUGUAUAAUUAUAAUAUAUAUGUAUAAUUAUAAUAUUUCUUUAAUUGAUUAGGUAAAUUAAAUUUUUUAAUUGUAUAGAAACAUAAUUAUAUUAUUUUUAUUUAUUAUAUUAUAAACUAUUAGUUAUUUAUUAUUCGUACAUAAAUUAUAAUUUACAUCAUGCAUUCCUUGUUAAAUAAACAGCAGAAGAGAAGUAAUUUUCACUGAACUCCAUUUCAACCCAAAAUGCAGUCUCGAUGAAACAAAUAUGUCCUUACUGUCGAACUUCACUAUACACUGCACAUGACAAAACUGCGGUCUAAUUCAUAGUUGUGGAAAAUAAUAAUAAUAAUUAUAUAUUCUUCUUCAUAAACCCUUAAGUAAACAUAACAAACUAGAAAGAAUGUUGACUUAAUUACUUUUCAAGUUCUACUCCUUCUCAUGUAGUUUACUUAAGAAGGAUAACAUUUAUAUGCAUAUAGAAAUGAAUUAAUGUGUGUCAAGCAUAUUCAAGAUGUUGAAACUAAGAGAAGUUUUAAGCUAACUGCAUUAUCUGAUUCAAAUAUUCUUUCUACAUAUGUCUGCUCAAAGUGACCGUAGUUGUGCCGAAAAUGACUUCUCCAGGAAGCUGAAGCAGUUUGAAGUUUCAUAGCCUUUGAGUAUUAUAUGUUGUCUCCCAGAAGCUGCUUACUGAUUGAUUCCCUGCUUUGUAAGGAGCCUUAUUUCAAAGGUGGCCGUUGGAAUCCGAAGCUCACGUGUUUGUGAAUGGUAUCGCGAUUCUAAUAAGUGUAGCGGCCACUUGUGGGCAUUAUCUGGAAGAUCGAUUUCAUAUAUUAAGAGCAUUGGAAAAUAUAAAGUCGUAGUACUGAUGCUCAUUUGCGUAUAUGGUGUAUAUGUUAAACCGUAUUUAUAUUAAAAUCGUAUCUUCUUCUAUAAUUUCUGGUUUUCGUGGACAGAUCAUAGACGUUGAUUCUUUCUUGUGAUUCUUUCUCGUUCACAAUCUGCAAAAAAAAAAGCAUCUAUUCCUUUAUCCCCCCAGAGAUGUAAACAGUCAUAGGAAUGAAAUUGGGAUUGUAGUUAGACCGGAAUUCCGGUUAUAUAAUAUAUAUAUAUAUAACUAGACUAUUAUACUAUUAAUAAUAUCAAAUUAUUAGUGCUAUUAGACUUUCGGCCCUGUUGGAUGAAGGGAUAUGCGGUUAGGAUGAUAGUGAUCCUUUAAGGUUGAGUGAAUGGUUGGUUAAAUAGUAUAAUCUAACAGAUAAAAAUGGUCAAAGAAAUAAAUCUAAUGGUGAAAAUUUUGUAGCAUCAAGUGUUUAGAAUUAUUAGAAGCACCCAAGCCGGACUCUCUGUCUCUGUCUCCCCCUCUCUCUCUCUAUAUAUAUAUAUAUAAAAGGAUAUUUUAAUCAUGUUAGCCCAUCACAAACGUGUUCAGAUACAUCAUAAUCGUUGGAUCGACUAUAUCCUUGGAAUCGCCUAAAAAUAAAUUACGUUGGUCACAUCCAAUAUCGUAGAGAUUAGGUGAAGCGAGGGCUUUAAAAUGGACUAACUUGCAUAUGGAUGUGGAAAAUUGCACGCUUAAUAAUCAGAAAACUGAUCGAUCUGGUUGGAAACAAUUCAAAAUUAGUCUCAAUUGCUGGCAUUUUAAUUUCUUGGAUGGAAUUUGGACAUAAUAUUAUUGCAUUUACUUAUCAAAUUUUUGUUCCGUGAGUUUCUAACAUUUUUCCAUGAGUAGAAUUUUUUUUUUUUUUUUUUGAGAGAAAGGUAGCAAGCUACCUGCUUCAUUCAUUAGGCAAAAUGAACUUGGCUUACAAAGUGAAGGCAGCCAGGGCCUCCUAAAGGAAACCAAAAAACAAUAAACAAAGCAAAAAACGCAAAUAACCACGGUGUACCAACGAAAACAACAAAAUAAACGACCAUGUACAGAUUAGCUAGGUACGAAGGAUCAACUCAGGUAUCGCGGUGUUGGAAGACCAAUCACCGGCUAGGGAACGUCGGUCCAUGCUUUGAUCAAUGCUUCAACCCGCUCUAGGGCCCGGAUAGCGUCUGGACUCGUCUCGUGGAAGACACUUUUGUUUCUCUCCGUCCAUACCACCCACCAGAUUGCCACCAACCGUGUUAGCCUCCGUCUUCUAACCUCGACAUUGGGUAAGUUAGCUGUCUGUGACCAUAAGCUUCUAACAUCCCCGAUGAGUGGUUCUGUAUAAACCGAACCCCCCGCGCAAAGAAUGAGAUAUCUGGCCAGAACACACUCCUUGAAAAGGUGAUCACAAGUUUCUGGUAGUGCUGCACAGAACAUACACAGCGGAUCCCCCUGGCACCCUCGACGGAUCAAUCUAUCCGCAAUCAGUAAUCGUUUACGGAUUAAGAUCCAAACGAAAAUUUUGAUUUUGGCCGGAAAGUUUAACUCCCAUAGGUGGUCAAAAGUCGGGUCUCUCAGACCUGCGUCGGUGAUGAAGUCAUAAAGGGAUUUAACUGAAAAUAAUUGGUUGGAAGUCCAUCUCCAGCUUAUCUUAUCUGGUGUGUCCGUUGGACUGUAUAGCGAAAGUAAAUUUCUGAGCGCCCUGACUUGUUGUUGACUAUCGAUGUCAGUAUAUGUUGCUAGACCUCUGGUUAUAAAUCGCCAACGCCACCCUUUUUCGUUCCAGCAUUGUGCGACUGUGACCUAGUUGUUCACAAUUCUGGAAUAGAUUCCGGAGAACCGAGUUCUCAGAGGGGUUUCGUCAAUCCAAAUAUCCGACCACAGCUUUAUAUUUUUCCCGUCUCCGAGUUUAUAUGAAACACCACAUUUGAAGACCUCUCGGCAACUCAUCACACUUCUCCACCAUUGGGAGUAAGGUCCGAAGGCUCUUCCUUCACGUAACGGCCUUCUUCUCGGGUAAUAUAAAGUCGUGAUUAACCUCCCCCCAAGUUAGCUGCGGCUCUUUAAAAAAGCGCCACCACCAUUUGGUUAGGAGUGCCAUAUUCAUAGCUUCUAUGUCUUUGAUCCCCAAACCCCCUUCCUUUUUGCUUUUGCAGAUCGACUUCCAAGCGAUCAGGCAUGAACCUCCGGAGAUUUUGGCGCACCCUUUCCAAAAGAAGGAUCUUCUUAGGGCUUCGAUGCGUUUAAGGACCCAUUGUGGCGCUUUGAAGAUAGCAAAGUAGAAUAGGGGUAUAUUUGUGAGGACCGAGUUUACCAGAGUGAUUCUUCCCCCAUAAGAUAGUAGCUUUGCCUUCCAACCUUCAAUGCGCUCCUCUAUAUGAUUUACAAUUGGAUCCCAGUCAACCCUUCGGAGGGGGUUGGUGUGGAGCGGCAAUCCCAGAUAGCGGAAGGGUAGACUACCUACUUUGCACCCCAAAAUCUCUGCAAGUCUCGUUGCUCUACUCGAAUUGUGGCCGACGUAGUGAAGUUCCGUUUUGUUCGUAUUUAUCUUGAGGCCCGAGGCCCAUUCAAAUAACUUCCAAAUGAACAGCAAGUUUCGCAUAGCCGACUUCUUUGGCUCCAAAAAGAAUAAAGUGUCGUCCGCGUAUGGCAGGAUCACAGUUUGACAGUCAGUAGUUGGCCCUAUCCCUUUGAGCAGACUGUUACCCCUGGCUGUUUCGGUGAUCCUAGCCAGGCAAUCUGCCACUAAGAUGAAUAAAUAUGGGGAGAGCGGGUCCCCCUGUCUAAGUCCCUUCCUUGUUUUCAGCCAUGUUGUUGGCGAGUCAUUUACUAAGAUGGCGAGUUUAGCAUUACAGAUACAUUAUUCCAUCCAGGACCACCAUUUUUCGCUGAACCCAAGCCAACGUAGUAUGUUUUUCAGAAACGACCAUCUAACAUUGUCAUAAGUUUUCUCGAAGUCUACCUUAAUGCUGACACACUCCUUAUCUGACUUUAAACUCCAUGAGUAGAAUUUUAGAACAAUGAUGGUGCAAAACUAAGUAGAAAAAUGCAUCUGCCAAGUCCUCGAAAUUGACUAUGGAAGUGAAAAAUUGAUUACUAAUAUAAGAUAAAUUGAAUGAUGAAGCAAUAUGUGAGAUUUAUUCCACUUUUGUGAUUCAUCCUCAACAACUUGGCCUCAAAGUUUCCUUGUUAGUGCACAAAGCAAUUAAAGAAACUAAUCAAUUGACAAUUUUUUUGUUAUGUUAUAUCAUUGUUAUCUGCCUAGGUAAAUUUUGUAUCUUGCCGCAUUGCCAGUAAGAAAAGUUUGUUCAAUUAGAAAGCAACAAGAGGUCAAAAUAUAUAGUAUUUUCCGAGUUUUCCGCCGUUAGAUUUUACCUUUCGAUUAUUUUCACUCAUUAUAUUAUACUAUUUAACCAAUAAUGUCACUCAACCCUAGGGGGCCCACAUCAUCUUAUCCAUAUAUUUCUUCAUCCAAGAGCCGAAAACCUAAUAGGACCAACAACUUUGUGGUAUUGAUAGUAUUCCAGUUUAGUUAUAUAUAUAUAUAUAUAUAUAUAUAUAGACUUCGGCUACGGUGCUUAUAAAAGCACCAAGCACUUGGUACUUGUAAAUUUUUUAUCGUUAGAUAUACGCCUUUGAUCAUUUUCAACUGUUAUAUUAUACUAUUCAACCAACCACCCACUCAAUCUUAGAGGGCCCAUAUCAUCCUAACCGCACAUCUCUUAAUUUAAUGGCCAAAAAUCUACAAGCACCAAUAACUUGGUACUUUUAAAAGUAUAGGAGCUCAAUUAUAUAUAUAUAUAUAUAUAAUAUAUAUAUAUGUGCGACAGGGUUGUUGUGUCAAAAGGAGCAUGGAGGCCUCCGUCUCUUGAGCCAUUUUCGAUGAUAGAAUUUUCGAAUCGACGAUCGCUCCGUUAGACUUGAUUUAGCGCAUUUGAAGUUUCUAGAAAAUAAUUUUUGCGAUUUUUUGAUAUCAUUUACCUAGUGACUGAAGAAUUCAAAAUCCAUAAUUUUUAAUGAUUGAUAUCUGUCGUUUUCAAGUUUAACGGUUUAGAAGUAUUCAAAUCAGAUGAAAUUUUGAUACAAAAUUUUUAUACUAUCUACAACAAGAUCAAUAUUUCUGAUCGAAAUUUUAGUGCUAUAUCACCACGUUUUAUAGGAUUUUUAUUUUCAGUCGUUAAAAAUUAUUGAUUUUGAAUCCUUUCGAUUGCUAGAUAAAUAAUAUCAAAAAAUUACAAAAAUUAUUUCUCGAAACUUCAAAUACGAUAUAUCAAGUUUAACGGAGCCGAUCGUCGAUUCGGAAAUUCCAUCAUCGAAAACGGCUCAGGAGCACGAAGGCCUCCGUGCUCUUGAGAGCACAACAGUCCUACUAUAUAUAUAUAUAAUUAUAAUAUAUAUAUAUAUAUAUAUAUAUAUAUAUAUAUAUAUAUAUUAUAUAUAUAUAUAUAUAUAUAUAUAAAUAUAUUAUAUAUAUAUAUAUAUAUAUGUAUAUGUUGUCCUUAUAAAAGUUCUAAUAUUUUCAAAUAUAUCCCUGCCGUUAAAAUCCGUUAGAAAACUUUAAUUAACCAUAGGUUAAAUAUUAAACCCUGAAUACUUUGUGAAAUAACUUGAUAUUUUUGCCCCUUUUAUAUUAUACUGUUGUGGUUUUUGGAAGAACAUAUAUUUGUGAUGACAAAAUUGACAUUUCACUUAAAAUAUAAACAAUUCUACAACGGUAAUAAACCAGAGGAGCAUAUUUAAAAAUAUUAGAACUUUUGUACAAAUAAUAUAUAAAAAUUAAAUUUUGUAUGAAUAUAUAUUUAUAAUUCAGUAUGUUUGCAAGGACGGCAUUUAACCCAAUUUUCUAUAUAUGACACACACAUGUCUAUCCACGUUACUUCACUAGCCCCAUCAAACAUUCCUGUCAUUAAUUAAAAUUUGUUAUUUUGCAUGUAAUUUAAUGAAUUAAUGCAAUAAAAAGUUGGAAAAAGGCAAAACUCUAUUUUGUUUUUUCCUUCAUGUGCUUUUAAUCAUCACUAAAAUGCGACGAUAUAUAUAUAAUGCAUUAGGACAAACAUCAAACUUUGAAAUCACCGACAAUAAAGCGAUUCCAUGUUCAUUGUGGAUCUUUGAAUGACUACAUUCAAGCCCUGGUGAGUUUUCUACGAACUAUAGGACGAGAAAAGAAUUAAAAUCUUUGAAAAAUAAUUAAACAUUAAUAAUUAAUUAAUUAAAGAGCAUUUGAUUAUUCUACCUGGUAACUUCCUAAGUUGUGUCAUAAUAUUACAAUGGAAUUAUAGCACUAUUUUAUGGUUAUCAGAGUUGAUCCUAAGCUCACUUUGAUAAACUAGUUUGUGGAUAUAAUUCCCCAUGUAUGAUGUGUAAUAGGUUUAAGUCCAUAUUUUUUUUACAUAUUCUCCCGUACUAUUACACAUUCAUGAUUUAUCUGAUACCUAUCAUGCACAUAAGCAAGAGUGUUAUGAUUAUUCAAAGACCAUUUUCUAUUAGAUUGAUAAUCUGGAUAGAUUUAGGGCCUCAUUGGACAUCGAAUUAAGUUAAUUAUCUAGUAAUAACGAGUGCAAAUCAAGUAAAAGAAGUGUUUGAUUUAGCACCUUAUAAUUAAGGCCUUAAAAGCCAUAGAUUUUCUCAAAUGAGGCAUUUCGCUGACAAAGUGAUUUAUCUAGCUUGGUAUACGAUAGGAGGCAUCUAAUCAUACUCCUCUAAUAACUAUUGAUUCUUUAAGAGUAAACAAAAAUAUAUAUACCAAACAAGAUAUUUAUGCAUCCAUAGGCCCUCAAGCCUGCUUUAUUUUCACGGUGUUGUGCGCAUGCACUUAUGUAAAUUAAAUAACUAAAUUUGACCAAAGACUGAGAAAUAAGGAAUAUCAGUUAGUUCCCACUUCAUUUAUUUAUCUGAACAUAGACCCAAUACAGCUAUUCAAGGUUUUGGGGGGAAAAAAGAAAAUUCCAAGUAGAGAAACUUAACAUAUAUAUAUAUAGUAAACGAGCCGUUUUACUACCGAUUUGUUUUCGAUGAUAGAACUUUCAAAUUGACGAUCGGCUCCGUUGAACAUGAUUUAUACCACUUGAAGUGUUUGGAAAUCAAAUUUCAUAUCUUUCGACAUCAUUUGCCUAGUGAUCAAAGAGUUGCAAAAUUUGUAAUUUUAAUGGUCGAUAAGAGGCGUUUUCUCGUUUCACGGCGUAAAGAUACCCAGAUCAAUUGAAUUUUUGUUAGAAAAUUCUUUAAACUAUUUAAAACAAGAUCUAUACUCUUGAUCUUGAUUACAAGACUUCUAUUAUCAUUUUUUAAAGAGUAUUCAUUUUCAGCCAUUCAAUUUUCUGUUCACUUGAUGGAUAAAAGAACAAUAUCGAAAGUGCGUGAAAUUUGAUUUCUAGGUAGUUUAAAUGGUUUAGAUCAUAUUUAACGGAGCUGAUCGUCAAUUUGGAAGCUCUAUCAUCGAAAACAAAUCGGUAGUAAAACGGCUCGUUUACUACCGAUAGUAUUCUAGCUCAACUCUCUCUCUAUAUAUAUAUAGAGAGAGAGAGAGAGAGAGUUAGGUUGGUAUACUAUCGGUAGCACGGAAGCCUCCGUGCUACCAAGUUGUUUUCAAUAUUGCGGCUUCCAAAUCGACAAUCGGCAAUCGACAAUUCGCUCCGUUAGACUUUCUAUAUUAUUAAAAGUAUUUGAAAAUUAAAUUUCAUAAUUUUUCGAUAUCAUCUACCUAUCAAAUGAGUAGUCUAAAAAUAAACGGCUGAAAAUAAAAAUCGCAUAAAAAAUGAUGAAAAAAGACUUGAAUCUAAUAGUGUUUUAAUUUUCUAUAAAAUUUCAUUAGAUUUGGAUUAUUUUACACCGUUAAAUUCACAAACGCAUCACAUUGACCAUUAAAAUUCUCAAUUUUGAGACCUUUUGAUCAUUAGACAAAUGAUGUCGAAAAAUUAUGAAAUUUAAUUUUCAAAUAUCUAACAAAGCCGAUCGUCGAUUUGGAAGCCACAUUAUUGAAAACAACUUGGUAGCACGGAGGCCUCCGUGCUACCGAUAGUUACCGCCUAGUGCUCUCGUCUCUCUCUCUCUCCUCUCUACUCGGUUCUCUCCUCGCUCGCUCUCUCAUCUCCUUAUCUCCGCCUCUGCUCCUAUCUCCAGUUCUGCAUUUCUGCUCUCCCGUCAAAAGACUCAAGGUCCUAUCCGGCCUCGAUCACUCUCAUGUGAUCUCAGAACAUUCGUCGCUCUCACGCCAGUCCCCAGAGUUGUGACAGCCGUCAAUCACUGAUCAGGGUUCGCCCAACCCUCCCCUCUCAAUCAUCUCAGGAAUCAGUCCACCACAAAGUACGUCACUGCACGAUCUCUCUCUAUUAUAUAUAUAUAUAUAUAUAUUAUAUGCUGGCUACUACUAUACUCUUAUGAGUAUAGAUCUUUUCUUGUACUCAUAAAUUUUUAACCCUUGAUUGAUGGGAUAUGUGGUUAGGAUGAUGGUGGUCCCCACUUAGAAUGAUAGUGGUCCCCCAGGGUUGAGUGUGUAGUUGGUUGAAUAAUAUGAUCUAACGGGUGAAAAUGAUCAAUGGAAUAAAUUUGAGGGCCAAAAUUUUAUGAGUAUAAGGGAGACAAUACUCAUAAAAGUAUAGUAGCCGGACUAUAUAUAUAUAUCAAAAUUUAUAAUUUUAAUGGUCAAUAAGAGGCGUUUUCUCGUUUAACGGCGUAAAGAUAUCCAAAUCAAUUGAAUUUUUGUUAGAAAAUUCUUUAAACUAUUUAAAACAGGAUCUAUACUCUUGAUCUUGAUUAUAAGACUCCUAUCAUCAUUUUUUAAAGAAUAUUCAUUUUCAGCCAUUCAUUUUUUUGUUCACUUGAUGGAUAAAAGAACAAUAUCGAAAGCGCGUGAAAUUUGAUUUAUAGGUAGUUUAAAUGGUUUAGAUCAUAUUUAACGGAGCCGAUCGUCAAUUUGGAAGCUCUAUUAUUGAAAACAAAUAGGUAGUAAAACUGCUCGUUUAUUACUAAUAGUAUUCUAACUCAACUAUAUAUAUAUAUAUAUAUAUAUAUGCAAGCAU